UCCCUGGUGGUCCAGUGGCUAAGACUCUGCGCUCUCAAUGCUGGGGGCACGGGUUCCAUCCCUGAUCAGGGAA
This 73-nucleotide transfer RNA is filed under the name Ovis aries (sheep). It matches the Rfam family "tRNA". From Rfam's summary of the family: Transfer RNA (tRNA) molecules are approximately 80 nucleotides in length. Their secondary structure includes four short double-helical elements and three loops (D, anti-codon, and T loops). Lineage: Eukaryota; Metazoa; Chordata; Mammalia; Artiodactyla; Bovidae. The record is from Rfam by way of RNAcentral.